Molecule: long non-coding RNA, 3510 nt
Organism: Zophobas morio
Lineage: Eukaryota; Metazoa; Arthropoda; Insecta; Coleoptera; Tenebrionidae
Exons: 3
Source: RefSeq, a predicted model, not a curated record
ACACACUGUAGGAGAGAGGAAAUGUAUUCUGAUUAAAGUCUUUCACUCACGGUGAAGGUCAGUUCACAUUCACCAGAAGAAACACUGAACUCGGACAGAACGCUUCGCUAAAUUUAGUGCCAAAAUCCAUUGUUCCUCUGGAAUUCUCAAAUUGGGUGAGUCGUCUUAAUUUUGUCCGAAUCUUAUCUGGCGAGGUGUUUGUUUAUUUUAGGUCGCAUCGGAUUUUUCAUUAAGGAAUAAAAAGCCGGCUUAGAAGAGAUUAAAAAUCCGAAGGAUGAAAGGAGUUAAUUAAGACGAUUGCGGCUGUAAAAAUCCCCCAGACCGGUAUUGCUCGGAUCGCAUCACAAUUAAACAAUUAAACUGGCUAAUUGGUGCUUCCUCUGCAAUAAACAAUUACAGAGACCGGAUGGACAACGUGGUGAUGGCCAAAUAAUCGGGACUCAACAGAGCAUUUGAACGACUCGUCUGCUGAAACAGAAUAACUCAUUAAAAUUAUUAGUUCGCAUGAGUGCUUUGGGAAUAUUUAUGCCACCCACCUCAUUUUGACUCACGAGAACAUGAGUAACAUUCUUAGGAGCUCCCGUAUGACGCGUGGGCGUUUCUCGGGGGGUCUGGAGUCUUCACUUUCGGAAAAGGAACACAACAUGGAUAAAAAAGCGAGCUAUAACGUGGUAACUGAUAGAAAUGAAAUGAUAACUAAUUUCUAGAAAGUCAUUCUGAACUGAUUUUAUUUAGUGGAGCCAAGUCGUGGAAAAACCUGAACAAUAAAACUUUUUAUAUUUUUUAAAUGGAUUUAGAUCGUCUGAAAGUGGAUGUUUAAUUUGAUCACGAACAUUAAUUAGUGAAUGUGAUACCCACGCAGUGUGCAUUUGUUUUUGUUAAUGUGUGUUUUCAGACUGCGCAAACAAUAUAGAUAUUUUGAGAAAAUUAAUUAUGUAUUAACUUAAGUUUCUUAAUUUCUUAAUUGGGUGAUUGGGUCUUAAAUGUAAGUCGUGCCGUUAUUGAUGAGGUCAAGAUAAAUCUCUUUGAAGUCAUAACCUACUCCGGUGAAGUUUUUACACUGUUUCUUAUAAAAACACUCCAUCUACAAUUCAGAAACAAGACUUCGUCUUGUACUAAAGUUUUUCCGAAAACAUGACGUCCUUUCACUCACGUUCUCGAACUGUCAUGUUUUUGAAAAAUACACCAUGUUCUAAUAAAACUUAAACCACUGUUAUCACAUCAUUUAUAGUAUAUAAAACUAUCAUGUUAAGAAGUUUGGAGCUGUGAAUACGUGAUUAAUAAUUCAUUUAUGGCGAUGAUAUUUUACAGAGUUUGUAUUUAUUAAAAAAAAAAAAAAAAACGCAGCGAAAGGCGAAGUGUUUUGAUGUAAUAUCUAAAAUAAAAUAAAUAUCUGCUUUUGUAUAAAAUCAGGUUACACAGAAAGUGUUAACCAAAUUACGGAAAAUCUUCUUUUAUUAUAUACUUUUUUUUAUUAAUCCAGGAAUUAAGACACAUAAAAAGGACUUUAAAUUAGCAAAACAGAGCUUGUGAUGACGACCGUCAUCAUUCCUUCGAGGUUCUUUCACUUUAAUUACGUAUAAUAGUGUACGUUCUUACGGACAUAUCUAAUUAAUAAUUACGCACUACUUCAGUGCAAUAAUGUUCAAUUAUAAGUACUUAGCACAAAUGAUAGUUAAUUUUGUUGAACAUUCUUACUUUCGCAAGAAAUGUUUUUUCAUUCGCAAAUAAAAUCAGUUCAUGUUUUUGUUUAGAGUAUAAUUUUAUGUUUAGUCUUAAAUUUUUUUGGGCGUAAAGUGACUAUUAAUGAACGUAUUUGAAAGUGGACAGGUUUUAUAUUCCAAAAUUUUGUACUUCUUCAUUUGCUGGACCUAUAAAAAACUAGUUCCAAUUAAAAUUUAACCAUAAUUAUUACUACGCUGCCGUUAUCCUUUAUUUUCCAUAAAUAUACGAAUUUGCGGAAAUAUCAAGUUAAACAGACUGAAUUGUUGCAAAAGCACGAAUGUACAGAUUUGUUAUGUUUUAAAUGUGUUAAAUUAACAGUAAUAAUGCAUUUCACUAUUUCACGUUUGAAAUUUCUGUACAUAUUUGGCGUCUCACUGGAUUAACAAUGAAAAUUAUAAUCAUAUUUGCAUUUUCAUCUCUGAACUGUUUGCAGGAUAUUAUAAAUUCCAAGUUUAUUUUGAAUAAUAAAUUAAUAAAUUUCCAUGGACACACGAUAAUAUGCUGCAGCAGGACUGUAACUGGUAUGAUAAGCAUGUUUUAUGGUAGAAAUGUACAAAAUAUUCUUGAAAUAAAACCGAACUGCGCGUCGAACAGCGAACUAUUUGCAUAAACUAACUCAAAAUUAUCCGCGUUUAAAUUUAAUAACUCCAGUUUGGUAGUUAUUUUUCGAUUCGUCUUGUGGUCCUUCUUUGUUAAAAAUGGUCCACAAUUGCGACUGCAUUAAUUUAAUCGUGGUCGAUUACCAGUAUUAAUAAGUAUGAGUGGAAAUUAGCGUUGGUUUUAUCGCUAAUGUGUCCGAUUAAAAGAAGGCGCGUAGUUGUCAGCAUCUUAUCUGUGUCGCAUUAGUCGAAUCCCGGAGUCCGUGACAAGGUAACGUCUCAAUUCCAGAUAAAACCUCCCAGACGAGUCCUCGAUCUAAUUAGCGAGUCGGAAUCUUUCCAUAAAUCAUUAUCAUUCCGGUUAAGUGUCGGUAUUAUCUAAGACCCACUCACUGAAUAAAACAACACGUAAGUUUCAUUAGCUAACAGGAUGAGAUGUGAGUGUGGAUCGUUGUUCAUUUCUUGCUAAGGCGCUGUUGCGAUAGGUAAUAUAGAUCUAAAGUCUACUUAAGAUAAGGAGGGUGUCGCAAAAAAUAUUACAAAUGAUUAGUCCUUAAUUAUAUUGUUAGACUUUGGAGUCACUAAUCCUGAAUUUUGCGGUGAAGAAUAGGGGUUAUAAAGGUAAGUAAGGUAUUAAUUUUUUAAAAUAUACAAAAUACGACAAACCCUAACAAUGUAACUAAUAAGUUGUAUUAUUAUUAACUUCUUUAACCCCCCAAAAAAUUACAAAUACUUAUAUUUUGUUCUCAGUUUAGCCGAAUAGUUUUAAAAUUGGCACCUUUGGCUGGAUUUGAACUUGUAGACUGUUACCACUAAGCUGAUAGCUCUGCACAUUUGAUGUAGUUCACAACACAUUCAAGUCCCAUUUGUGAUGCCAUCUACUGAAGAAAACAGAAAUUAUUUAAUUCAAUAUGUAAUAAAAUUCUAAUUAAUUUUUAUAUACUCGAAUUCAAGAUUCAAAACGAUCUUUGUAGUCUACUGAUGAAAACAGAGUGUUAAGUAUACAGGUGAUCCAAAAAUGACGAAAACUCUCGACGGUAGGUUAAGAACUCUGAAGAACUUUCAAAACAUGAUUAACAAAAUCUUUGAACUAAAUUUUUGAAAAUAUUAAACUUCAAAGUUAAAGAAUGACUUCGUAAUUCUCAGAAGUUUGAAUUUGAUUGACAGUCUAAAAUUCUGAUACAAA